Phalacrocorax carbo (great cormorant) is the source of this 4680-nucleotide non-coding RNA. Lineage: Eukaryota; Metazoa; Chordata; Aves; Suliformes; Phalacrocoracidae. The record is from RefSeq and is a predicted model, not a curated record.
UUAGCCACAGUAGUGCUAAAGUUACUGCUACAAAGGCGACUGUAGGAGCAAUGCUGCUGGUGGCCUGUCUCCUCCGGCGACAUUCGCAGCUGCACAGUAUUUGUCAAGAAAAGACAGAUGAUUCUGUCAACUUGCGUGGGUUUUCGUAACAUUUGCAAGGCCUAUCCAGAUUCUCUCUUCAGUGGCAAAAAGAUAACAAACCGUCUUUGUUAACAGUCUUCCCAGGACGCAUGCUGGCACGAAAUAGGUGCCACUGGCACGUUGCAGACCAGCGAUGGCUACACUUCGGCGGUUAGGAAGUUGUUCUGCUGCACAGUGUUUGCAAAAUAAGAUGAGAUCUUGUGUGGGCGAAAAGUGAUAAAUAUGUGCAAAUAUUUAGUGUUGCAUUCUGCAGCCUGGGAACACCAUUUGGGCUGGCCUUGUAAGAGCAACAUCUCUUGGGAAUUUCACUUACUCUCGUAAUUUGUUGUCGAUGUGACAUGGCAGAUUAUAGUUCAUCCUCGGAAACUGCGAGUCGUUUCCUUCUAUUCCUAUUUGACAUACAUUUUUGCUCAAACUUGUGAACUGCUUCCAUCAUUUUGGGUGGCAGUACAGAUGCACGCAUUUAACACUUCUCUCUCCUCCUAUUUCUUUCUGAAAAAGAGUCCAGUUGUACCAAACUCUGAACCGAGGAAACUUGUCAUUUCUCAUCCAGAAGGAAUGUAUGUAAAUCCAUCGUCUUAACUGACGCCUCUCCAUGAGCUUCAUAUAAUCAGCCCUUGUAGCUUAAAGUGCUAAUGGUCAGGAGUGAUUGUCCAAAGUGGACAGAAGCCUCUGAGAAGGCGUGCAGAGGGGUCAGGAAGAGGAGGUUUGGAGAAAAGAGCCACGAUCGUAAAUCCCCUUUCCCUCUGGCACGCAUGCAAAUCCGAGCGAGACUGCACGCUGCCGGAAGCGGCACAACAAUCACAACACGGGCUCCGCAGCGGCUCGGCUCUGCGCAGAGGAGCAGCCUUUCGUGUGCACGGUGAAAAGCACGGGAGUCCAGCGGGAGCUCUGCUGGGAGCAGGAGCAGGGAGCAGUGCUGGGCAGGGAGGUGGCCAUCUCAGGCGGCUCCUGUGAAGCCCCUCCGAGUCACCUGGCUCUGCCGGUUGCACCUGGGUCUCUCCAGGCCCGCCACGUCUUCGCUUCCUCAGAACCAUUCCUGGAAAUCAUCACAAGUUCAGCUUCAGUCUGUUUGCCAGUCACUGUGUAUUUUCAGGGCCUGGGAUCCCUCCCAAGCGGUGCUCAGCUCACACCAGGAGGUCAAAACAGGCUGAAACCCUCCGGAAAGUAGCCGAUGGGAUAAAUGCUGCCACGGUGUUGUUCGCACAGCCUGCACAUAGAAUUCCUCUCCCUUACCUUUUGCCAGCCUCAUCCCUUUCCCCUGGAAGCUGGUCGGAGCAGGCACUGUGGUAUGCAGCGCCCAGAACAACGGCGGCCCUUUUCAAAUGGCUCCUUAGCGCUGCCAUAAUAAGCCUGAUAAAUAAAACAUGGCUUGCAGACAUGGAUUUACUGGAGAGGGCUAAGGGGGCUGUAGCUCCCUCAUUAGUAUCUCCCGGUGCAGCAUGUGUGCUCCUCAUUAUGUGGCACAGUGGCGGUUGUCUAGUCAUCCACGAUGAGGCUGCAGCCACUCCAAGGAUGUGCCCGGGAUCCCAGGGAUUAUUUUUUUCUUCUGUGUUAAUAAUAGGAAUAUAAAAGAAAAGAAAAGGAAAAAAAAAAAAAGACCUUGAAUAGGAAAAGGAUGAAGGGGGAAAGACUGCAGCACUGAGUCAGAUUUUCUCUCCCUUGCUUACCUGUAAGUCAGCAGCAAACGUGGAGAAAUAGACAUAGCCGUGCUAAUAUGGAAUUGGUGUGAGUAGGGUCAAGGCCUCCAGACUGCACAAACUCUUAUUUUGGGCAUCUUUGUUUCCCUUCAGUCUGAAAAUGCUGCUUUGUAAACUCUUGGCCGAAGUCUAAACUUCAUUCUCUUCCUCCCAUUUUUCUUCUGUUUAAGGGAGAAGAGUCAAAUUGGAUGAUUUCAAGUCCCUCAAAGCUGGGGAUGCGGGAAUCUGGGUUAAUCCAAACGGGGUUUGUGGAGGUUUGAUCCAGCUUUUCUUUCUGGCCAUCAUUUAAAUCCCUCCUUACCUCCAGCAUACAAGCUGCGGCUGCAUCAUCGUAGCAACCCUGUGACCGAGAGGCAUGAGAGUCUCCUCUGAGGCUGUAAUCUCACUCUAAACAGCUCUCUAGUGGGUGCUCGUGAGUGGCAAUACAUCAUGCAAUUUUCUCCUUUAGAAGCUCACGGUGUCAUCUCCGCCGUGAUCCCUGCCCUGCCCCGCCAGCACUGGCAAGCCAGAGCCCAGGGCCGGCCUGGGAGCGGGUUCCUGGCACAGCACCGCAUGGCUGGGGCACGUGUGGGGUCACAAAUGGCGUUGGCAACAUCUGCCCCUUCCUCUUUGCAACCCGGCCCACGGUCUGGUGGAAGAGGUACCUGUUUAGGAUGGUGGGAGACUUUACUGGCAUAGCAAAAUAAUCCUCGAUAAACUUGUGACGUUCUGUAACGGUAUUUAAUAUGCAGAUGGCCAAACGAAUGCCAUCGUGAUAUAUUUUUAUGGACAAAUAUUAUAUAUUAAGCCCUGAUUUAUGCAUUUGAGCGUAAUACCUGGGGCUCUGAGGAGAGCCUUUAAUCUCUGUCAGCGAGGCAGCACGCAUGCUAAAAUGCCGAGUAAAUCUGCACGGGAGCGGUGAACCGAGCGCAGCAUAUAUCAGAGUUCUUCCGCCUGAUAAAAUUAAAUACACAAGACCACCUUUCUGUGACAUUAACGGUUUGAUACGCAAGGGCUGACAUCAGGAAAUACCGACCUCCGCUUCCCGCUCUGACCAUAACCUGCAGCGUUCCUGCUGGUUCUGCCGUCCCCAUCCCGAGGUGCGGGAAGGGUGUCAUGUCAAGCUCCCAAGAGAAGUUCCUGGGUGAAGGAAGGUCCCUGCCCGUGACUUGCCCCCUCUCCUCCCACCGCUCUGCCGCACCUUGCCUUCCGUGUGGCUGCCGGGGUGCAGGCGGGGGUGGGGGUGGGGCCUGAUGCCCUUUUUCCCCUUUGUCAGCACAUAUAGGGUGAGCAUCGUCUCAGCGUGGGGUUCUGCAUUUAAUAAUCUCACCAGCUCAACUGUUUUUAUCUGAAUCUCCCUUCUGAACUGAUAAAUCUAAAUUGCACAUUUUCUAAACCGCUUAGCUUAGGGGUAAAUCUUGCAGGUAUCCUCAAAUGACUAGCUGCUGUCUUCUGCACCUGUCUAGCACCAUCUACUGUAGCUUUUUUAUACUGUUUCCCUUUCCCUUCCCGUCUGCAUGCUUACGAUUCCUGCAGGAGCUGCCUCCAUCCCGAGGAGUCUGUGCGAGAACGAGAGCUCUGGUUUUGUUUGAAAGGCCCGGGGCUGGCACGAUGGUGAAACAAAUGCAAUAAGCGUUCAUCCUAUAGAUGAAUGCUCCUCGUUUUAAACCAGUGACCUGAUUUUCAGUACCCAGCUUGCUGUUGAUAAAUUUUUCACUCUUCUCAGUGCUCAGAAAGAGAGGAAGAUGGAGCAGAACAAAGGUGGCCCACCUUCGCUGAAGCUUUCCAUGCUAGCUGGUGGAUCAAGGAUUCGGGACGUGGCAGGAUGAGGGGCUGGAACAGAGCAUUGUGCGGGGAGGAGAGGGCCUGUGUGGAAACAAAUCUUCCGGCUGCUGCCAGAAGAUGCCAAGGGGGAGACAGCAGCUUGGAUUUCUACCAUCUGAUGCGGAGUUGUGGGAUGGGACUAGAAGCAGCAGGAUUUUCCUGUGAAAGUCCUAUCUCCUCUUGUUACCCUCAGUAUUAAAAGGGAAGCUGCUCUGAAGGAGUACCCUGCUUUUCUCAGCUCUGCAGUUCAGAGCUGACAUGGAGGCGUUAUGUGUCCUUAUGAUAUGCACUCCUAUUACAAUGUGGUUUUGUCUGGAGGAUGUUGUACGGUUGAAGACGACUAUUACAACCAAAAAUAGAACCAGACCUUUCUGACUGCUAUGACUAUUAUGGAUCUGUAUGAUUAAUAUUUAGUAGCUUUACAAAAAGCACCAAAAGCUGGAAGUCAAAAUCAGAACAAAGUUGUGCUACGGAUUGCAUAUGGCUGGGUUUUUUUUUUAAGAAAUCUGUUCAUAAUGAGCAUUUCUGGAGGUGAUAGAUUAGCAUAAAAAUACUGCCAGUCUGUUCCAGGGCUGUAAAACACAAAACAAGGUACAUCACACAUUUUUUGUUUUUUUAAUCAUUAAAACCCAGAUUAUCUGUUUGUAACUAACUUGUUUCAAUGGCAAGUAACGUAUUUUUCCAGUCCUGGAAAUGAGGUAGAUUUGGCAGCUUAGCCUACGAAGUUCUGUGGCAAAUCUGCAAACUGAAAGACCACAGGGUUUUGUCCUGGCUUUGUUUCUUGAUGAAGUUCUGAAAAGAGCUAAAUUAAAUCCAUGCUCUAGCCAUAUGUGUAAUUUUGCUCUACUGGAAUAGCUUAUAGCUGUCAGUGAAUUUCUCCAUACUCUCAGCAUUGUGUAAGGGAUGAUACAAGAGCCUGAAGAUUACUCUCUCCAGUAGUACCAUGCGUUUGUGAGCUUAAAAUCAUUACAACAGCAUUUUUCAUUUACAUGGCUGGAGAGAAUCUGUUUUUGCAGUAAAUUUGUAUUUGAAAGCA